Molecule: long non-coding RNA, 1504 nt
Filed under: Numida meleagris (helmeted guineafowl)
Lineage: Eukaryota; Metazoa; Chordata; Aves; Galliformes; Numididae
Description: lncRNA (ENSNMEG00000020297.1)
Source: RNAcentral
CAUCCUGGACGUAGAUUCAAUGCCAUCAGUGUCACUGAGAGCUGCAGAUGAUAACUGAGCCUCUGGUGCAUAUAUACGGCCAGGUCAAGGUGAGCCAAUGUGCAUUGGUGGGUGGGGGCUGAGCAGGAGCAGCAGUGCCAGAGUAGAGGCAUAAGGAGAAGAAAACAAGAUAUUUUUGUGGAAGACCUAGUGUCAGAUCCAGGACCCAGUGUCAGCUCCUGGCCCUGCUGGAGCCAGGUUGUCAGAGAAAGGUCCUAAUACAUCAAAAAUCUACCCUUGGAAGCAUACAUCCCUGCUCAAACAUUCGAAAUACCAGGAUUUCACCAUGGGGCAGAUCGAGUGCAACUUCGUAGGAAUUCUUCCCAGGUGCUGAGGUUCUGCAGCCACCACCAGCUACUGGUGCUGGAGGGACACUUCCAGCAGCACCAGCGUCCCUCAAGGCACCUGGCUGCAGGAUUACACAGCAGUUGUGCUUGCUGACCUCGCAGGGGAAACCCCAGAGUUGGAUCCAUCUGACUCAAACCAUCUAAAAGGCAUAAAUCUAAACUUAGGGCAACACAUUUUAAAACCAUCCUAUUACAAAUGCUCAGCCACUUUGCUUCAAAACACUUCAGCAGUGCUGUAUUCAGUAACACAAAGAGCCAGGUGUUGUAAUGUCUGAAGUAAAAACUGCAAGGAAAGCUCAUGCACUUCUUUUUGUGUAGGUAAAAGCUGCAGGUGCUUGUGACAUUCUUUCUCAGCCCCUCAUCCCUUUCUCAGGAGAGCUGAGAUACCAUGAAUUUAUGCCUCGAGCCUGCAGGGGAUUUCCCACGGAAAUGACUUGCAAGUACUGUUUCUUCCAGAUGCGGUGAACAGAGGUUUUGAUCAUGAGACUAAUGCUCUCCUGGGCUUAGAGGGACUUUGCAACCAAAAUGAUGACUUCUGCAAACCUUUUCAGCUGCAGAAGAGCGAGCUGAAGGCAAAAAAUUAAAUGCUGUGGCAGCUGCUGACAGUCUUAUGUGAGUGUUAUGUGACAUUCUGGGUAGGUUAUGAAAAGCCAGAGGACUUCCACUGUUCGUCUAGGAUCUCUGUGGGCUUGGAUAUCUAGAGAAAGAGAAACUUGGGAGCAGAAAAGGUGAUAGAAAUGAAAAUAGUAUUCUAAGAGCAGACUUCAGCUUGUGCCUGCAGAGGGACACAAACAACCCCCGAAAGUAGAGGAGGUCAAGAACAUUCCUGCUGAAGGCUUUUAUGGAAACCUGCUGCUCCUGAGAACAACCUGGUGCUGUUUGGAGCUCUGAGGCUUCAACUCCUUUCAGGUGCUCUGUGCCUGUUGCAGAACGUAUUGGUUUUAUAAUGCCAUAAGUCUUCCCUUGAAUGCUACAGAGCAAUUGCCUCAAUCUGGAGGCAGAGGGAACCAAUUAUCCCAAUUCUGGCAGAUGUAGCUCCUUGCACAAAGUUGCAGCUUUUCAUUAUUCGGUAUGAUUUGAGCACACUGUGAAAAGUACUGCAGCUCUUCAGUUCCCUG